RNAcentral lists this ribosomal RNA (770 nucleotides) under uncultured archaeon. RNAcentral's name for it is "bacterial SSU rRNA". It matches the Rfam family "Archaeal small subunit ribosomal RNA", at positions 325 to 1099 of the family's 1478-position model. The record is from RNAcentral.
ACGGGGUGCAGCAGGCGCGAAACCUCCGCAAUACACGAAAGUGUGACGGGGUUACCCAAAGUGUUCAAUUUUGAACUGUGGUAGGUGAGUAAUGUUCCCUACUAGAAAGGAGAGGGCAAGGCUGGUGCCAGCCGCCGCGGUAAAACCAGCUCUUCAAGUGGUCGGGAUAAUUAUUGGGCUUAAAGUGUCCGUAGCCGGUUUAGUAAGUUCCUGGUAAAAUCGGGUAGCUUAACUAUCUAUAUGCUAGGAAUACUACUAUACUAGAGGGCGGGAGAGGUCUGAGGUACUACAGGGGUAGGGGUGAAAUCUUAUAAUCCUUGUUGGACCACCAGUGGCGAAGGCGUCAGACUGGAACGCGCCUGACGGUGAGGGACGAAAGCCAGGGGAGCGAACCGGAUUAGAUACCCGGGUAGUCCUGGCCGUAAACGAUGCAUACUAGGUGAUGGCACGGCCAUGAGCCGUGUCAGUGCCGUAGGGAAACCGUUAAGUGUGCCGCCUGGGAAGUACGGUCGCAAGGCUAAAACUUAAAGGAAUUGGCGGGGGAGCACCACAAGGGGUGAAGCCUGCGGUUCAAUUGGACUCAACGCCGGAAAACUUACCAGGGGAGACAGCAGUAUGACGGUCAGGUUGACGACCUUACCUAACGAGCUGAGAGGAGGUGCAUGGCCGUCGCCAGUUCGUGCCGUGAGGUAUCCUGUUAAGUCAGGCAACGAACGAGAUCCGCACCUUUAUUUGCCACCAAGAAGUCGCGACUUCGUUGGGAACACUAA